GUACAAUACCACCCACAUAUUGACCAGCUUUAAAGUGACCACCAUGGUGUAUUUCAAGUGUGAAUAAGUCAUGAUUACCUACACAACAUACAUCACAAUAUAAAUCAGGGAUCACCAAACAACACUUACUAACCAAAUAUCCACCAAUAUACAACAUUUACUAACCUAACUUGCUAAUUAUUUAAAGAAAGUCAAUAAAAGCAACAACUAAACAUAUUAUAUGUGCAAAGUUGAUAGUAUACAGGAAGUGCCAACAAUGCUACACCAAAAAGAUUAUACCAGCAAAGACCAGCAAAAAAAUAAAAUACUGUAUAGCAAAUCAAAAGACCAUAAUACAGUAAACAAAUUCGAGAUUAUGCAGCUUAGAGAAGGUAAAUUAAGAGACUCGGCAGCACAAGUUAGAUCCACAUCAGGGCCAUGCUCGGGAACCUAGACUUCCAAAUAAACUUGUCAGGACCAAAGGUGGAUGGUUUGGGAACUCGCUCCAAAUUCUUUCAAAAAAGCAAAAAUGCCAACUCAAGGAUGUUGCAGCAGAGUUCAUAAAUAUCUUGAGUUCUUGACUAGUUGGGAUUAAGAAAAUCUGCAACUAUCUUGGAAUCCUAUAUGAACUAGUUAUAAAGUCAGUCCGAGCAUCAAUUUUGGGUUCAGAUACAUAUUAGCUGCAACACAUAUAUUCUUUCCAUUGCAAAUUGCACAAAUACAUGCUCUUUCUCCAAUAUGUGGGAUUUCAGUUUUAGGAGAAAUCUUAGAGAGAAUAUGGUGGUGGAGAUGACAAACUUAUUGAGGCUGCACAAGGUGAUGAUAUUAUAUUAUUUCCAUACAGAAAGGAUGCAAGAAGAUGGUGCUUAGAGACUUCUUUGAACACCUUAAUUAAAUGGGUUAAGCUUAUAAAUGGAAAGUAUGGGAAAGAACCUGAUAGCUUAGAAAUAGUUGCAAAGUUAGCAUGAUCAACGAAAAAUAUUUUGUAAAUGUACAACAAAUAAAUGUAUUGCAAUUUUCAAAAGCCCCCACUCACAACUCUGUGAAUGUACCAAUAAAGGAAUAUAGUAGAAGGAAAUAUACAGGUUAUAAACAGUUUCAUCAAAAGGAAAAAAAUAUAUCUCACUGAUGAGCCACCACAGUUAAACUGACAUUUCUCCAUCACGAUUUUCAUGCAUCACAGCAAUUCAUAACUUAGUAACAGAGGCUGAGCUAGAAGCCUAGAAAAGCCCCUGACAUACCAAGGUGCUCACAGUUGAGGAAAUGAUUACGAUUAGAAACUUAGAAUAGGCACAUAAACCAGUUGAUAGACAAUCUGGUUCAACUUUAAGUGGACUUUCAAACCCUUGAUAUGUAUUAAUGCAGGGAUUUUGAUGUGGAAAGAAAGAUAACUUGGUCAACUUUCAGUUGUUGAUCAACUGGCAUAGCCACCAGGCAAUCGCCAAACAUUAAACCAAAUGCCAGUACAAGUUUGUUGCUCAGUUCUAUCCGACAAGUCACAUAAAUAUGGUACUUACACAAAUGUCUUCUAUCUUUUUCAAUAAAUUACAACCCAUCCCCUUCUUGAAAAAUUUAAAAGGUUGAAUGGCGUGUGGGUGUGGCUGGGCUGGGAUUAGGGUGGGAGGGUGUGGGACGCAUAACUGAAUAAAACAAUCAAGGGACCCCAUAUACACACACGACUGGAAAAAUAACACACAAAGCAAACCUUUCACAUAUUAAACAAACUGAAAAAGAAAAAGUGAAGACUUACUGUAUCUUGGAGGAUGCCCACCAUCCCUGACCACGAUACUCAUCGUUCUCAACUUCAAAACUCAAAAUACCUUCAAUAUUUUCUCAGAUCCAGAGCCAGGCGAAGAAAAAGUGAAGACUUACUGUAGCAAUUUGUUGAUUUCACCGUCUAUUCUCCAUAUCUUUU
RNAcentral lists this long non-coding RNA (1894 nucleotides) under Malus domestica (apple). RNAcentral's name for it is "long non-coding RNA (MDOM_LNC010726)". Lineage: Eukaryota; Viridiplantae; Streptophyta; Magnoliopsida; Rosales; Rosaceae. The record is from RNAcentral.